Long non-coding RNA from Alexandromys fortis (reed vole), 1296 nucleotides. RefSeq lists it as uncharacterized. The record is from RefSeq and is a predicted model, not a curated record. The transcript is spliced from 3 exons. NCBI's taxonomy places the organism in Eukaryota, Metazoa, Chordata, Mammalia, Rodentia, Cricetidae.
GCCCUGGAGCCUAUGAAUUUUGUCAAGGCUGGUCCUCAAUACAAGCCCUCAAUUUAACGCUUUCUUUGGUAAGAGUUGCCUGGGUCAUGAUGUCUCUUCGCCGCAAUGGAACAGUGACUAAGACACGUUGUCGCUCAAGAACAAACUUGAGGAGUGAACCCGGAAAAACAAAUCAGACUGAUAGUCUCGCAUGUCUGAGAAUUAUAGGACUUAUGAAACAGAAGUUCCUGUGCAAGAAUGAGCAAGGUGAUUCUGUGGCUCUCUUCUGGACUUAUCUAAGUGGUAGAAUUGCUUAACGGAGAAGAAGGACUUAGAUCACACCGUGGUGUGGUGUCCUGCCAGAGGCCAGAAGAGGGCACCAGACCUCAUUCCAGAUGGUUGUGACCCACCAUGUGGUUGCCGGGAAUUGAACUCAGGACCUUUGGAAGAGCAGGCAAUGCUCUUAACCACUGAGCCAUCUCUCCAGCCCGAGUCUGUACUUUCUUGACAUGACUAUCUCUCCAUGGCACCUCAAGGGCAUGUCAUUGUGAUGCCAGCACUUGGCUAAGAAGUGGAACCCCCCCCCCCCGACCUUCCCUUUCUACAUGAUGUUGUCAUCUGAACCUCAGGACGGGCGCUAAACUGGAAAUCACAGCACCUUGAAGAGGAAUGCAGCGUGUGCCACACAGGGCUGCCCUCCAGAACAGAGAUGAACGGGAACCGUUGAGGACUCUGGAUAAGAUACCCACCGGCUCCCAGAAACGGUGUGUUGGCUUGUUCUAAAACUUCACGUGGUUGCCAGGGAACUAAAGUCCACCACCUAAGCAUCAGCAGGAACUGCCCUGAGCCCCCGUGACAAGGUAGUCUGUUUGGCAGGGAGAUCUUAUCCACGUGACCGCGUGAGGAGGGUAAAGUCAAGUUAAGUCAUGCAAGGUCAUUCAAUGUCAUCAGAUGUCAAAAGCUACAUAAUGGUAAGCCUGAGUUUUCAGACUUCUGCCAAAGCCAUUUCCAACUCCUUUCCAUGGUUUAGUCCUUUGGGUACCUGCCGUCAUGUAUUAGCCAUCAUUAUAAUCUACCUAGUCACAUGACUAGAUCAUCAGGACAAGGGUUUCUUUAGCCAUCAUUAUAAUCUACCUGGUCACAUGACUAGACCAUCAGGGCAAGGGUUUCUUUAGCCAUUAUAAUAAUCUACCUAGUCACAUGACUAGACCAUCAGGGCAAGGGUUUCUCUAGCCAUCAUUAUAAUCUACCUAGUCACAUGACUAGACCCAUCAGAACAAGGGUUUCUCAGUGUUUGGCAUCCUGUUGUAUGCUCAA